Molecule: non-coding RNA, 957 nt
Organism: Nyctereutes procyonoides (raccoon dog)
Lineage: Eukaryota; Metazoa; Chordata; Mammalia; Carnivora; Canidae
Source: the annotation of a RefSeq genome assembly
CUCUGAUCUUGAUUAGGACUCAUCAGAUAAACUUCUCAAAAUGAAAUUUCCUUCUCAGCUUCUGGGGCUGUUGAUGCUCUGGAUCCCAGGAUCCACUGGGGAGGCCGUGAUGACGCAGACCCCACUGUCCCUGGCCGUCACCCCUGGAGAGCUGGCCACUAUCUCCUGCAGGGCCAGUCAGAGUCUCCUGCACAGUGAUGGAAAAUCCUAUUUGAAUUGGUACCUGCAGAAACCAGGCCAGACUCCUCGGCCGCUGAUUUAUGAGGCUUCCAAGCGUUUCUCUGGGGUCUCAGACAGGUUCAGUGGCAGCGGGUCAGGGACAGAUUUCACCCUUAAAAUCAGCAGGGUGGAGGCUGAGGAUGUUGGAGUUUAUUACUGCCAGCAAAGUCUACAUCUUCCUCCGACGUUCGGAGCAGGAACCAAGGUGGAGCUCAAACGGAAUGAUGCCCAGCCAGCCGUCUAUUUGUUCCAACCAUCUCCAGAGCAGUUACACACAGGAAGUGCCUCUGUUGUGUGCUUGCUGAAUAGCUUCUACCCCAAAGACAUCAAUGUCAAGUGGAAAGUGGAUGGUGUCAUCCAAGACACAGGCAUCCAGGAAAGUGUCACAGAGCAGGACAAGGACAGUACCUACAGCCUCAGCAGCACCCUGACGAUGUCCAGUACUGAGUACCUAAGUCAUGAGUUGUACUCCUGUGAGAUCACUCACAAGAGCCUGCCCUCCACCCUCAUCAAGAGCUUCCAAAGGAGCGAGUGUCAGAGAGUGGACUAACAGGCCCCACCACCUGCCCCUCAGGCCUAGCCUUCCUGUCUCCUAGCUCAGGCCUUGGGCCCUUUCCCCAUCAGAGACCCACCCCUGUUGCAGGCACCACCCUUCUCCCCACCUCCCCGUCUUGGGCUUUAACAAUGCUAAUGGUAUCUGGGGGAAAAGGAAUAAAUAAAGUGAAUUGUUGCACCUGU